GUGCCAGCAGCCGCGGUAAUACGUAGGGGGCAAGCGUUGUCCGGAAUUAUUGGGCGUAAAGCGCGCGCAGGCGGUCCUUUAAGUCUGAUGUGAAAUCCCACGGCUUAACCGUGGAGGGUCAUUGGAAACUGAGGGACUUGAGUACAGAAGAGGAGAGUGGAAUUCCACGUGUAGUGGUGAAAUACGUAGAUAUGUGGAGGAACACCAGUGGCGAAGGCGACUCUCUGGUCUGUAACUGACGCUGAGGAGCGAAAGCAUGGGGAGCAAACAGGAUUAGAUACCCUGGUAGUCC
Molecule: ribosomal RNA, 292 nt
Filed under: uncultured microorganism
Description: partial 16S ribosomal RNA
Rfam family: Bacterial small subunit ribosomal RNA
Source: RNAcentral